CUUGAAUAUUAGUGGGAGUUUUGGAAGAUUCUAUUUUUCUGAAAGAAUCUGCAGUAGGGUUUCAGUUUCAUUUUAUUUUUUGUGCAACAGUAUUAAAUCCUGAAACGUACUUCUGCAAAGAAUAUAUGAGGAUCUCUUAAUAACCCUUGUUGUACUCCAAAGGAAGAGGUUGCAGUUGGUAGGGACAGUGAUUCAAGCCGUAUCUCCACUGUCUCGGCAGUAACAACUGACUGUCCUGCAUAGAGCAAUGACCUCAAACACACCCUUCAAGUGAAAAGAAAAAUUAAAUGUUCAAGUUCCGGUACUAUCUUGUCUGUUUGAUGCUCACUUGACGCUGGUCCAUUUCGCCACCGCUAUCUCCAGCAGACACACCCCGCCAGCCGUCAGACGGGAGCUGGACAUGAGAAUGAUGGUAGUUGUACACGCAGACGAUGCUGCCUUCAAGUACGGCUUUGCUGCCCACCCCAAUGAUACCAUAAUCAAAUGUGGUCAGGAUACUACAGUGUUUGGACCUGAAAUUGUCAGCUUAGAGUUCAGAAAACAGUCCACUGAACAAAUUCAAAACUAAAGAAAUC
Molecule: long non-coding RNA, 575 nt
Organism: Oreochromis aureus
Lineage: Eukaryota; Metazoa; Chordata; Actinopteri; Cichliformes; Cichlidae
Source: Ensembl